RNAcentral lists this non-coding RNA (1075 nucleotides) under Pongo abelii (Sumatran orangutan). The record is from RNAcentral. Lineage: Eukaryota; Metazoa; Chordata; Mammalia; Primates; Hominidae.
AUUGUGGUGGCUGCGCUUGCGAGGACCCUGAGGUAGGUUGGGUGGUUUCAGCAGGAACGCAUCCACUGUCUGAGGUGGCAGUUGAAGCCGGAAGAACAUCUACCAAGAGCAGAGAACCCAGGAAGAAAAUUCUGCCUGUUUAAUACGUUCCAAUAUGGACGUUUUCCAUAUAGAUAGCUAUCUAUAUAGAUAGAUGCUCUGGGAUCUGACAGUCCUGGACACCUGCAUGGCUGUGUGCCGUGGUCUUUGCCUAGCCUGCCGUUCACUGUUGCUCUGGCCACCACCUCCCCUCAUGUACAGACCGCGUCUCUGCUCUGCCAGUCUUGGCCCCCGUCGGGCAGCGGUUCACUCCCUCACCAGGGAUGUCUAGAUAGAUAGAUAUAGAUAGAUAUCGAUAGAUAGAUAUAGAGAUAGAUAGAUAUAGAUAGGUAGAUAUAUGGAUAUAGAGAUAUAGAUAUAGAUAUUUAGAUAGAUAUAUAGACAUCUAUCUAUAGAUAUAUCGAUAUAUAUCGAUAUAUAUCGAUAUAUAUCGAUAUAUCGGGAUUCUCAGCCAUCCCAAAGAAGCUUGCACAGGGCCAGUUGCUUUAUAAUAGGAAAGGGGACACAGACUGAGUGUAUGAGGGUUUUUUUUUUUCUGUAGAUGUAUAGAUAUCUAUAUCAGAUGCAAAUAAGUGAAACUCUCAUACACCUUUUAAUUUUGUGUUUUUUCCAAACUCUAUUCCAUUCAACUUUUUCUGCCUUUUUAUUUGAUUAUAAUGAGACAUCGUACUGUAGGCAGGCUUGAAAUGGAUAUACAGAGCACUUUCAACCCAGAAAUUUGUCUCACGACUUGGGGAUCCUUACUUAAGUUGUAGCUGUUAGUAAUUUCAUCCAUGAAUUCACUUUGUGCCAUAGUGUGAUGUUUUGUUAUGAAGUUGGAAUUGGGAAGGGAAACUAGGAAGUUUUGGGAGAAGUUAAGAAGGUUGAGUAGGCAGGCGUUGUUAUAGAUAUUAAAUUUCACCCUGCUUAUCAAAGUACCUGGAGGGUAUGGUAUCCAAGCUGUAAAUGGCCCAAAGGAAUCGGGGUUCUCAGCCAU